Small nucleolar RNA from Juglans microcarpa x Juglans regia, 190 nucleotides. RefSeq annotates it as small nucleolar RNA snoR127. The transcript has a single exon. Lineage: Eukaryota; Viridiplantae; Streptophyta; Magnoliopsida; Fagales; Juglandaceae. The record is from RefSeq and is a predicted model, not a curated record.
CUGGGAUGAUGUUGCUUAGCCAAAUCAGAUAUUGAUGUGCUCCAUAAGGCAUUGUCUUCAAAGCUUGUACUUGGUAUUGUAGAGGCACACUGGGUCUCGUACGUACUCUUGAUCAAGCAUUGGACAAGAUGCCUUCUGUCGAAGCAUAUUGCUGUGACGUCAAAAUAGGGAUUGGUUGGUCCUGACCAGA